GGUCUCAACUCAAAAUUUAAAAUAAGUACUUAAUAGAGAUCGGAAGAGAGUUCUUAUCCGAUCUCAACUCAAAAUUUUAAUAAAUAUUAAAGAGUUCGGAGAAGAGUUCUUAUCCAAUUCUUAAAUUAAAUUUCGAUAAAAUAUUCCUUUCAAAUAAAAUUAACAUACAACAGUAACUCACUAAGGUUGUCUCAUUUACUUAUGUAUCUGGGUAAUUCAAAUUUAGUGAAAAUCAAAUGUUCCUUUUGACAAAAGGAUUAACAUGUCCAUUCA
RNAcentral lists this unclassified non-coding RNA (273 nucleotides) under Hevea brasiliensis (rubber tree). Lineage: Eukaryota; Viridiplantae; Streptophyta; Magnoliopsida; Malpighiales; Euphorbiaceae. The record is from RNAcentral.